Molecule: ribosomal RNA, 2920 nt
Filed under: Bacillus cereus
Lineage: Bacteria; Bacillati; Bacillota; Bacilli; Caryophanales; Bacillaceae
Description: bacterial LSU rRNA
Rfam family: Bacterial large subunit ribosomal RNA
Source: RNAcentral
UUAAGUUAGAAAGGGCGCACGGUGGAUGCCUUGACACUAGGAGUCGAUGAAGGACGGGACUAACGCCGAUAUGCUUCGGGGAGCUGUAAGUAAGCUUUGAUCCGAAGAUUUCCGAAUGGGGAAACCCACCACACUUAAUGGUAUGGUAUCCUUAUCUGAAUACAUAGGGUAAGGAAGACAGACCCAGGGAACUGAAACAUCUAAGUACCUGGAGGAAGAGAAAGCAAAUGCGAUUUCCUGAGUAGCGGCGAGCGAAACGGAACAUAGCCCAAACCAAGAGGCUUGCCUCUUGGGGUUGUAGGACAUUCUAUACGGAGUUACAAAGGAACGAGGUAGACGAAGCGACCUGGAAAGGUCCGUCGUAGAGGGUAACAACCCCGUAGUCGAAACUUCGUUCUCUCUUGAAUGUAUCCUGAGUACGGCGGAACACGUGAAAUUCCGUCGGAAUCUGGGAGGACCAUCUCCCAAGGCUAAAUACUCCCUAGUGAUCGAUAGUGAACCAGUACCGUGAGGGAAAGGUGAAAAGCACCCCGGAAGGGGAGUGAAAGAGAUCCUGAAACCGUGUGCCUACAAAUAGUCAGAGCCCGUUAACGGGUGAUGGCGUGCCUUUUGUAGAAUGAACCGGCGAGUUACGAUCCCGUGCGAGGUUAAGCUGAAGAGGCGGAGCCGCAGCGAAAGCGAGUCUGAAUAGGGCGUUUAGUACGUGGUCGUAGACCCGAAACCAGGUGAUCUACCCAUGUCCAGGGUGAAGUUCAGGUAACACUGAAUGGAGGCCCGAACCCACGCACGUUGAAAAGUGCGGGGAUGAGGUGUGGGUAGCGGAGAAAUUCCAAUCGAACCUGGAGAUAGCUGGUUCUCCCCGAAAUAGCUUUAGGGCUAGCCUUAAGUGUAAGAGUCUUGGAGGUAGAGCACUGAUUGGACUAGGGGUCCUCAUCGGAUUACCGAAUUCAGUCAAACUCCGAAUGCCAAUGACUUAUCCUUAGGAGUCAGACUGCGAGUGAUAAGAUCCGUAGUCAAAAGGGAAACAGCCCAGACCGCCAGCUAAGGUCCCAAAGUGUGUAUUAAGUGGAAAAGGAUGUGGAGUUGCUUAGACAACUAGGAUGUUGGCUUAGAAGCAGCCACCAUUUAAAGAGUGCGUAAUAGCUCACUAGUCGAGUGACUCUGCGCCGAAAAUGUACCGGGGCUAAAUACACCACCGAAGCUGCGGAUUGAUACCAAUGGUAUCAGUGGUAGGGGAGCGUUCUAAGGACAGUGAAGUCAGACCGGAAGGACUGGUGGAGUGCUUAGAAGUGAGAAUGCCGGUAUGAGUAGCGAAAGACGGGUGAGAAUCCCGUCCACCGAAUGCCUAAGGUUUCCUGAGGAAGGCUCGUCCGCUCAGGGUUAGUCAGGACCUAAGCCGAGGCCGACAGGCGUAGGCGAUGGACAACAGGUUGAUAUUCCUGUACCACCUCUUUAUCGUUUGAGCAAUGGAGGGACGCAGAAGGAUAGAAGAAGCGUGCGAUUGGUUGUGCACGUCCAAGCAGUUAGGCUGAUAAGUAGGCAAAUCCGCUUAUCGUGAAGGCUGAGCUGUGAUGGGGAAGCUCCUUAUGGAGCGAAGUCUUUGAUUCCCCGCUGCCAAGAAAAGCUUCUAGCGAGAUAAAAGGUGCCUGUACCGCAAACCGACACAGGUAGGCGAGGAGAGAAUCCUAAGGUGUGCGAGAGAACUCUGGUUAAGGAACUCGGCAAAAUGACCCCGUAACUUCGGGAGAAGGGGUGCUUUCUUAACGGAAAGCCGCAGUGAAUAGGCCCAAGCGACUGUUUAGCAAAAACACAGCUCUCUGCGAAGCCGUAAGGCGAAGUAUAGGGGGUGACACCUGCCCGGUGCUGGAAGGUUAAGGAGAGGGGUUAGCGUAAGCGAAGCUCUGAACUGAAGCCCCAGUAAACGGCGGCCGUAACUAUAACGGUCCUAAGGUAGCGAAAUUCCUUGUCGGGUAAGUUCCGACCCGCACGAAAGGUGUAACGAUUUGGGCACUGUCUCAACCAGAGACUCGGUGAAAUUAUAGUACCUGUGAAGAUGCAGGUUACCCGCGACAGGACGGAAAGACCCCGUGGAGCUUUACUGUAGCCUGAUAUUGAAUUUUGGUACAGUUUGUACAGGAUAGGCGGGAGCCUUUGAAACCGGAGCGCUAGCUUCGGUGGAGGCGCUGGUGGGAUACCGCCCUGACUGUAUUGAAAUUCUAACCUACGGGUCUUAUCGACCCGGGAGACAGUGUCAGGUGGGCAGUUUGACUGGGGCGGUCGCCUCCUAAAGUGUAACGGAGGCGCCCAAAGGUUCCCUCAGAAUGGUUGGAAAUCAUUCGUAGAGUGCAAAGGCAUAAGGGAGCUUGACUGCGAGACCUACAAGUCGAGCAGGGACGAAAGUCGGGCUUAGUGAUCCGGUGGUUCCGCAUGGAAGGGCCAUCGCUCAACGGAUAAAAGCUACCCCGGGGAUAACAGGCUUAUCUCCCCCAAGAGUCCACAUCGACGGGGAGGUUUGGCACCUCGAUGUCGGCUCAUCGCAUCCUGGGGCUGUAGUCGGUCCCAAGGGUUGGGCUGUUCGCCCAUUAAAGCGGUACGCGAGCUGGGUUCAGAACGUCGUGAGACAGUUCGGUCCCUAUCCGUCGUGGGCGUAGGAAAUUUGAGAGGAGCUGUCCUUAGUACGAGAGGACCGGGAUGGACGCACCGCUGGUGUACCAGUUGUUCUGCCAAGGGCAUAGCUGGGUAGCUAUGUGCGGAAGGGAUAAGUGCUGAAAGCAUCUAAGCAUGAAGCCCCCCUCAAGAUGAGAUUUCCCAUAGCGUAAGCUAGUAAGAUCCCUGAAAGAUGAUCAGGUUGAUAGGUUCGAGGUGGAAGCAUGGUGACAUGUGGAGCUGACGAAUACUAAUAGAUCGAGGACUUAACCAU